This 450-nucleotide ribosomal RNA is filed under the name uncultured bacterium. Its description in RNAcentral is "bacterial SSU rRNA". It matches the Rfam family "Bacterial small subunit ribosomal RNA", at positions 354 to 796 of the family's 1533-position model. The record is from RNAcentral.
GUGGGGAAUAUUGCACAAUGGGGGAAACCCUGAUGCAGCCAUGCCGCGUGUAUGAAGAAGGCCUUAGGGUUGUAAAGUACUUUCAGUCAGGAGGAAGGGUGAACGGUAAAUAGCCGUUUACAUUGACGUUACUGACAGAAGAAGCACCGGCUAACUCCGUGCCAGCAGCCGCGGUAAUACGGAGGGUGCAAGCGUUAAUCGGAAUUACUGGGCGUAAAGCGCACGCAGGCGGUCUGUUAAGUCAGAUGUGAAAUCCCCGGGCUUAACCCGGGAACUGCAUUUGAAACUGGCAGGCUGGAGUCUCGUAGAGGGGGGUAGAAUUCCAGGUGUAGCGGUGAAAUGCGUAGAGAUCUGGAGGAAUACCGGUGGCGAAGGCGGCCCCCUGGACGAAGACUGACGCUCAGGUGCGAAAGCGUGGGGAGCAAACAGGAUUAGAAACCCCUGUAGUCC